RNAcentral lists this long non-coding RNA (654 nucleotides) under Notechis scutatus (mainland tiger snake). Its description in RNAcentral is "lncRNA (ENSNSUG00000002261.1)". Lineage: Eukaryota; Metazoa; Chordata; Lepidosauria; Squamata; Elapidae. The record is from RNAcentral.
AAACUAAUCCUUUGAUCCAUUUUCUGCAUAAUAUAACAUGUUUUCAGUGUGAAUCAAUCAAAUGUUUUCAGGUUAUGAUAGUUUUGCUUCACCUGCUGCACCUAACUUCUGCACACCUGGAGUGAAAAUUCCCCACAGAAAGACCACUGUUUUAUCAGAGUCUCCAGAAAGUAAACAUUUGGAUGUUCCUAAACACACAACAGAAUUACCUCCACUUGAUACAAAAUCUCAGGAAAUACAACCUCUGCAUGUAAGUGCUCCUAAGAUACUGCCAGAUAAUAAUCUUAUAAAAGACAGUGUUCAACCUGUCCUGGGUUCAGACAAAUAUCUGGAAUGUACUGAAGAACCUCCUCCUCCAGCAAUGCCAGUAUAUGAGGACCUCUUCAGUUCACUAUUACCACCGCCUGAAAUAACUGUGAUUCCAAACAACCUCUUGCAGGUUUGAUGUACAAAAUUAAUUUGCACUAAAGUUAGCAUUUUAUUAGCAAAAUUGGAAACGUCCUUUUUUCAAACAUUCUUCUUGUUUAAACUUACUUAGAUUUUAUCCCGGUACAAUCCAAAUAUAAAAGUACCCAGGUCAGCUGCGAAAGGAACUAAAGAAGAAAAUGCUUCACAAUUUGAAGAAAAGCUAUUUCUUUGUACUGAUAACAAAGA